Molecule: small nuclear RNA, 104 nt
Filed under: Vulpes vulpes (red fox)
Lineage: Eukaryota; Metazoa; Chordata; Mammalia; Carnivora; Canidae
Source: RNAcentral
GUGCUCACUUCAGCAGCACAUAUACUAAAAUUGGAAUAAUACAGAGAUUAGCAUGGCCCCUGCCCAAGGAUGACACGCAAAUUCGUGAAGCAUUCCAUAUUUUU